CCGGCAACAGACCAAGUUGCUUUUCUCUCUAGCUGGAUCCACUUAGGAAACCGCACGGCAUCGGACCACAGGGUUAACAAUCAAAAGAUGACAACUAUUUGUAUACUCCUAGUGGUACUUUGCCUCAGUUGUACCUUUAUUGGCGGAACGAGUUCUUCAGGUGAAGAUACAGACUACCUUGCACUGGAACGACCACGACGGAACUGUAUCCCACUCGGCUCCUUCUGCACAAGUAACAGCAGAUGUUGCCAAGGACGGAAGAAAACCAAGAAACGAUGUUGUGGUUGGCUUAUGAGAUGCGCCAAGUCUGGACAGAUGGGAUGCAAGUAGAACGCGGUCGAGGCUGCUUGCCCCCUCCGUUCCCCGUUCCUCCCCACCUACGACGCGUUGCCCGGAACAAUUUUAUUCGCACCAUUCAGAGCAGAUUAUCUUGUACAAGUAAAUGGUCUUUUUUAUAACAAAUUUGUUUGGAAAGUGAUCGGGUAAAAUUAGUUCAAUGAGCACAGAGCGGUAACUAAUAAUAAA
Molecule: long non-coding RNA, 525 nt
Organism: Lineus longissimus
Lineage: Eukaryota; Metazoa; Nemertea; Pilidiophora; Heteronemertea; Lineidae
Exons: 3
Source: RefSeq, a predicted model, not a curated record